Molecule: long non-coding RNA, 936 nt
Organism: Raphanus sativus (radish)
Lineage: Eukaryota; Viridiplantae; Streptophyta; Magnoliopsida; Brassicales; Brassicaceae
Exons: 3
Source: RefSeq, a predicted model, not a curated record
GGAAAAAGACGAUCUCUCACUUUCUCCUCCAUUGACGGUGGUGACGAGCCUUGAUUCGCUUUUGGAGAAGCUCAAAGUGGAGGGGCCUUACCUUCCACCAAGCAUCAGGAGAGAUCCAGAGACAGCCUUUUGUAAUAGGUCAGUUCAGCUUUUUUACUUGGCUGAAUAGUGUUGAUCUGAGAUUCUGUGGCUUGAUUUUUGAUUGGUUAAGUGUUGCUGGAGGCGCAGCAUUGGGAAAGACUACUGUCUGUUGCAGUAAUCUUCUUACUGACUUAAGCUUAGUGUCUUUCCUGUGUUGGCUCAGGACUCAGGAAGAAUGUGUUAGAGAUCACUACUACUAGAUUUAAGUUUUCUUUUGAAAUAACCUUUUGUUUUAUUUAAUCUAUGUGAAGGGAUCACACAAAGGACGGUGGAGAGACGGGCAAGAAAGCAAAAUGGUUCUUUAGCGUCAAGAAAGCAUUCAGCCCAGAUUCAAAGAAGUCGAAGCACAGAUCCCGAGAGCCCAAAUGGUGUGAUCUUUAUCCUUCCUCCCCUGUUGGAUAACGCCAGACAUUCUCCUCCUCCACCUCCACUUGAGGUGAGAGUAGCUGAAGUGGUUGUUGAACGAAACAUCAAUCUUUCCCCUCCUUCUACAGAUGCUGUGAAUGCUACGACCACUGAUGUUCCUCUAGUCCCAUCUUCAUCAUCUUCUGCUCCUCCUGAGGUGGUUCGUCCUCGUGCUGCACCUACUCGGUUUGCUGGAAAGUCAAACGAAGAAGCGGCUGCUAUCUUGAUUCAGACUAUAUUCAGAGCCUAUUUGAGCAAUACGGGCGAUGAGGGGUUUGGUCAGGCUUAAGUCAUUGAUGGAAGGAUCUGUUGUUAAACGUCAAGCAGCAAACACUUUGAAAUGUAUGCAGACACUCUCUCGUGUACAGUCUCAAAUCCGAGAAAGGAGAA